GCUUAUGCGUUGUUGGGUAGGGGAGCGUUCUGUAAGCCUGUGAAGGUGGCCUGUGAGGGUUGCUGGAGGUAUCAGAAGUGCGAAUGCUGACAUAAGUAACGAUAAAGCGGGUGAAAAGCCCGCUCGCCGGAAGACCAAGGGUUCCUGUCCAACGUUAAUCGGGGCAGGGUGAGUCGACCCCUAAGGCGAGGCCGAAAGGCGUAGUCGAUGGGAAACGGGUUAAUAUUCCCGUACUUGGUGUUACUGCGAAGGGGGGACGGAGAAGGCUAUGUUGGCCGGGCGACGGUUGUCCCGGUUUAAGCGUGUAGGUGUGUGUUCCAGGUAAAUCCGGUUCACUUUAACACUGAGGCGUGACGACGAGGCACUACGGUGCUGAAGCAACAAAUGCCCUGCUUCCAGGAAAAGCCUCUAAGCAUCAGGUAACAUCAAAUCGUACCCCAAACCGACACAGGUGGUCAGGUAGAGAAUACCAAGGCGCUUGAGAGAACUCGGGUGAAGGAACUAGGCAAAAUGGUGCCGUAACUUCGGGAGAAGGCACGCUGACACGUAGGUGAAGUGAUUUACUCAUGGAGCUGAAGUCAGUCGAAGAUACCAGCUGGCUGCAACUGUUUAUUAAAAACACAGCACUGUGCAAACACGAAAGUGGACGUAUACGGUGUGACGCCUGCCCGGUGCCGGAAGGUUAAUUGAUGGGGUCAGCGCAAGCGAAGCUCCUGAUCGAAGCCCCGGUAAACGGCGGCCGUAACUAUAACGGUCCUAAGGUAGCGAAAUUCCUUGUCGGGUAAGUUCCGACCUGCACGAAUGGCGUAAUGAUGGCCAGGCUGUCUCCACCCGAGACUCAGUGAAAUUGAACUCGCUGUGAAGAUGCAGUGUACCCGCGGCAAGACGGAAAGACCCCGUGAACCUUUACUAUAGCUUGACACUGAACAUUGAGCCUUGAUGUGUAG
RNAcentral lists this ribosomal RNA (947 nucleotides) under Salmonella enterica. RNAcentral describes it as "partial 23S ribosomal RNA". It matches the Rfam family "Bacterial large subunit ribosomal RNA", at positions 1213 to 2141 of the family's 2925-position model. The record is from RNAcentral. RNAcentral also lists the same sequence under 1 other name. Lineage: Bacteria; Pseudomonadati; Pseudomonadota; Gammaproteobacteria; Enterobacterales; Enterobacteriaceae.